RNAcentral lists this transfer RNA (68 nucleotides) under Stolotermes victoriensis. Its description in RNAcentral is "tRNA-Ser". The record is from RNAcentral. Lineage: Eukaryota; Metazoa; Arthropoda; Insecta; Blattodea; Termopsidae.
GAAUUGUGUUAGAUCAAGUGAAAGCUGCUAACUUAUCACUAUAGCGGUUAAAUUCCGUUUACAUUUCU